AUGCAAUGAUGUGAGAAUUUCUUCACCUGAAAUUGCUGGUAAGGGUAAAGUCUGAGCUUUUUAACACUGAGUCACA
Molecule: small nucleolar RNA, 76 nt
Filed under: Dasypus novemcinctus (nine-banded armadillo)
Lineage: Eukaryota; Metazoa; Chordata; Mammalia; Cingulata; Dasypodidae
Source: RNAcentral